Molecule: non-coding RNA, 87 nt
Organism: Pseudomonas syringae
Lineage: Bacteria; Pseudomonadati; Pseudomonadota; Gammaproteobacteria; Pseudomonadales; Pseudomonadaceae
Source: Rfam
UCGUAAGUCGUCAUCAGGCACAUUUGCCGCUGGCGGCGAGCUUCGUUCAUCCCGAAUGGAUGCACGAGGUUUCACCAGAAAAAGGAA